GUCAUCAUCAUGUACUUCUGUUGAAAAUUAAAUUAUUUAAUUGGUUCGAUUUUUUUGGAUCCAAAAGUCCUCCACUUUUCCUCUUUAUAACACUAAAGAAACAGAGCUAAAAGAAAAGAAAAUGGAGGGUGCUGAAAUGCAAGACUUCAUCGAGGUAUGGCUUGAAGUCAUCAUUUCUUUGUGUUAUUGCUAUGCAAUUAGAAACAUUAUUCCU
This 214-nucleotide unclassified non-coding RNA is filed under the name Hevea brasiliensis (rubber tree). The record is from RNAcentral. Lineage: Eukaryota; Viridiplantae; Streptophyta; Magnoliopsida; Malpighiales; Euphorbiaceae.